Molecule: long non-coding RNA, 502 nt
Filed under: Dromaius novaehollandiae (emu)
Lineage: Eukaryota; Metazoa; Chordata; Aves; Casuariiformes; Dromaiidae
Description: lncRNA (ENSDNVG00000012741.1)
Source: RNAcentral
ACUUUGGAAAGAUGCUUUCUCUAAUUUUUAGAACCAAAACAGACCUGAAUGUGACCUUCGAUCUGUGGGGCCCUGGGAAUGGCUGAGCUGACUCUAUACAUACGUGUGCACACACUCUUCUAAAAGAAAUUACCGCAGCGCCCACCUGGACAAGGUCAUCGCACGUGUGACGCAGGAAUGUAAUUUAGCUGAAUCCAAGCAUACCACAAGGACAGUAAAAGCAGCCAUCAUACCUGGUGUCUUCCACAAGUGCUUUGGUCCUCUCAAUAUUCAGCUGUCAAAAGCCAUUGAUCAGCCCAGUUAUGACUGCAGAAAAGCAAGCAGUAUAAUGAGAAUGGCCUUUGCUGACCUCUUCAGAAACAAUGCAGAAAGAGAGCAUCGCCGGUGUACAUCAGGUAGCUAUAUGAAGAUCUACAAAAUAUGUUACCAGAAAAGAGCCUAAGUGAAAUGAGACCAUCUUAAACAAAUACAAGGUACUUAACAGAGGGAUUGYUGGAAACGG